GUGGGUUGCAAAAGAAGUAGGUAGCUUAACCUUCGGGAGGGCGCUUACCACUUUGUGAUUCAUGACUGGGGUGAAGUCGUAACAAGGUAACCGUAGGGGAACCUGCGGUUGGAUCACCUCCUUACCUAAAAGAA
This 134-nucleotide ribosomal RNA is filed under the name Pluralibacter gergoviae. Its description in RNAcentral is "partial 16S ribosomal RNA". It matches the Rfam family "Bacterial small subunit ribosomal RNA", at positions 1410 to 1533 of the family's 1533-position model. Lineage: Bacteria; Pseudomonadati; Pseudomonadota; Gammaproteobacteria; Enterobacterales; Enterobacteriaceae. The record is from RNAcentral.